AUGUCUGACGCUCGCCGAGCCCGCGCCGAGCGUCGGGCUGCUCUUGCGGCCCAUGUCACCCAGACGGCCCUCGUCGGCGGGCUUCCCCGUCGUUCCCCAUCGCCUGCUGCCCACGCUGCCAUCGGCCCGGCGGGGAACGAGCAGCAGGUGUCGUUGCUGCAUCCCUCGCUGCGGCGAAAGGGCCGCACCGCUACCCCGUCACUGACUCCAGCAGGCUCGUCAUCGCACGCUCGUCGCGCUCCCGUGGAAGUGCACGCCGCGCUGCUCCUGGCACGCGAGCUCCUGCACUACCGCCCCGUCGACGACCUCUACGACGAGUGGCUUGCUCGCAUCACCGAGCUCGUCAGCGCCGCAGGGGGCUCCCCCGCACCGUCCCUCUCGCUGCAUCGCCCUCCGUCCUAUGCAGGCAACGCUGCCCCGGAGGCGCAUCCGCCACCUCCUCCUCAAGAAGGUGCCCUGGCCCCAAGGCGCGCGGCCCCUGGACGAGACCCGCCGCGUCCAGCGCCCGCGCAGCAAGAAAAGAGCUGCCAAGAGAUCCCUCGCCCUCAAGAAGGCGCUCACAUGCUCCCUGCGCCAGCAUGUCAUGACCGCGCUCCUACACCAGCGUGCCAAGACCCCGCACUACUCCUGGCGGCAGUGUGCGGAGGCCUCCAAGACCAACCCCUUCGUCACCUAAGGCGCCCUGUGGCCACUGCAGGCUGCCGCGCCUUCACUGCUGAGUUGCGUAGCGUGGCCUGGCCGGGAAAAUUCAAGCCAGAUCUGCCUCCUCGCUACGACGGCACUACCGACCCCGUGGAGUUCCUCCAGAUCUAUGAGCUGGGCAUCGAGGCGGACAACGGGGACGAAAAAGUCAUGGCGAACUGGUUUCCCAUGGCGCUCAAGGAUGGGUCCCGCACUUGGCUCCUCAACCUUCCACCCAGCACGAUCUCCUCUUGGGACGAGAUGCGCACUCACUUCAUCGCCAACUUCCAGGGCACUCGUGACCGGCCCCCGGCCAUGAGUGACUUGCGCCGCAUCAAGCAACAGCCAGGAGAGACCCUGCAAAAGUACAUCCAUCGCUUCAACAACACCCGCCUCAAGAUUCCCAGGGUGACUGAGGAAGCCAUCAUCUCAGCCUUCUCCGAUGGCGUUUGUGACAUCAAGAUAAAGGAAGAGCUAGCGAUCCAUGAGGAUUUGUGCACCUCUCUGGAGUUGUUCAACUUGGCGACCAAGUGCGUCAGGGCUGAGGAAGGGCGCCUCUCCCUCCUCGAGCUUCCAACUGCUGAUCCGGAAGAGAAGAAGCCCAAGGUCGAGGACGUAAAGCGCAAAGGAGCAGUUGUGCUUGCAGCUGAGCCAGAUACCAAGCAAGGCAGGGAUCAGCCGGAGUCAUCCAAAGCUCCCGAGGCCCCCUCGGCGGUAUCUCAAAGGCGAAGGAGGCAGGAAGGCGGAUCCGGGAGCUCGGAGGCAUGGCGGCGUGAAGCACGAGCUCGCGGGAGGAGUUUGCAGCGUGGACUCCAGGGGGGACGACGCGUGUCGCCGUGA
Molecule: ribosomal RNA, 1521 nt
Filed under: Triticum aestivum (bread wheat)
Lineage: Eukaryota; Viridiplantae; Streptophyta; Magnoliopsida; Poales; Poaceae
Description: partial small subunit ribosomal RNA
Source: RNAcentral